Long non-coding RNA from Canis lupus familiaris (dog), 1044 nucleotides. RefSeq lists it as uncharacterized. Lineage: Eukaryota; Metazoa; Chordata; Mammalia; Carnivora; Canidae. The record is from RefSeq and is a predicted model, not a curated record. The transcript has 3 exons.
CCCGGCCUCCUCAGUACCCGUGGGUAGGCUUCAGGACCAUGUGGGGCUGCCUCCACGGUGACAGGAGCCCUGGCCUCCUCAGGACUCGCGGUGAGGCUUCCAGAGGAUGUGGAGCCCCGUCCUCGCUGACAGGAGCCUGGUCUCCUCAGGACCCGCGGUGAGACUUCAGGAAGAUGUGGGGCCGCGUCCUCCCUGACAGGAGCCCCGGCCUCCUUAGGACCCACGGACCCGCUGUCUAUGACUCAGGAAGACAUGGGGCCACGUCCGCCAUGACAGGAGUCCGGCUUCCUCAGGACCCGCUGGAGGACCCUGGAGGCGCUGUUCAGAGUCACAUCCACCUCAGCAGGGCUACUCAGAACGACAAGCCACCCUAAAGGACAGCAUUGCAGACUGCCCAGCUGACCGACCCAUGAAUCCAGGAGGAAGUGAGCAUGCCUCUCCACAGGUCAAUCUAGAACUGUUUUCUGAAGGAGACUUGCUUAUUCGGGUACUGUAUGACAUUUUCCAAAUCUAUCUCCUGUCAGUGGUUAUGAUAAUAGCAGAAUUGGGGCCUCAGAGGUUUUCAAAAAACAUUUCAUUUCAAAUCUUGUUGAAUUUAUCUUUAAUUAUCAAGUCAAUUUUCUGGUUGGAUAAAGUAUUCUAUAUCUAUUCCUUCCAUUUUUCAGACAAUUCUAUAACCAAAGUGCCAUGUGGGUGAGAGUCACACAGGGCAGAGUCAGAAACCCUUGAUGUCCAUCCCUGAGAGCCAACGGCUAGUCAAAGAGCAGCCACCUCUCCCCACAAGGGUGAUGCUGCAUGUGUCCUAUCUGUUUCAGGAAGUGUGAGACUCAGGGGGAGGGAUGUAUGUGUAAAUCAUACCAUAAGCCAUCAAACACAAGAAAGGAAACAAACGUACAAAGGAAAAAUAUCUUUUGUGUAUAUGGAAAUAUUAGCAAUAUUAGCAUACCAUAUUUCAUUUUUACUAACUUUGGGCACUUGAACAUUUUCUUUCUCUGAAAUUUUCUAUCUAAAUAUGAUAUGUUGGGCAGCCUGGGUGGGCUCAGC